Molecule: long non-coding RNA, 639 nt
Organism: Danio aesculapii
Lineage: Eukaryota; Metazoa; Chordata; Actinopteri; Cypriniformes; Danionidae
Exons: 4
Source: RefSeq, a predicted model, not a curated record
UGCUCAUGCUGAGUACUGUACUGUAUGUGUGUGUGUUCAUAUACAAUUCAAUCUAAUAAUACAAAAAAAAAUCUCAAUUUGAAUUUGUGUGGAAGCCUAAAUUGACAAACACUAAACAUCGAGAAAACUGGAGCAUAAUUGGCAUGAUUGUAUUUCUGAAAAUUAAUAAUAUUGUCCAUUGUAUGGCAACUACCCGGAGAGAGAUCCUGUGUCUUGUCCACAACAAUACCCUGUGGUGUUUGUUGGUCUGGAGUGUGUGAAUCUGCAUAUGGUUUAGAAAAAACCGACCAGAUUUGACAACCAGACUGACCUCCAUACAUCACUUUUGGAUCAAGUUUCAAGCAGAUGAUCUCUCUUCGUUAAACUAAACUCAAUACUGUACCUGCUGUAACAAGCAAGCAAAGCAACAAUUCGACACUUUCACAAGUAAAGCAAGCUGCCAGGAGAGAGACUGUGUUUGACUAAAAUAAUAGAUCAUGACACCAUCUUGUGACUCCAUCUCUCAGCGUCAUGCUGAAAAACACAACCAUCAACAAUCCUGACGUUUGGGUCAAGUGACAAAACUGAUAAUCUCUCCUUGAAUAACAUAAAAAUGUUCAUUCACUUCAAAAGAAAACUGAAUAAAUGAUGAACUGCAAA